Molecule: ribosomal RNA, 253 nt
Filed under: uncultured bacterium
Lineage: Bacteria
Description: partial 16S ribosomal RNA
Rfam family: Bacterial small subunit ribosomal RNA
Source: RNAcentral
UACGUAUGGGGCAAGCGUUAAUCGGAUUUAUUGGGCGUAAAGAGCACGAAGGCGGACUAUUAAGCGAGGUGUGAAAACUGGGGGCUCAACCCGCAGCCUGCAUCUCGAACUGGUAGUCUGGAGUUUGGUAGAGGAGUAUGGAAUUCCCAGUGUAGCGGUGGAAUGCGCAGAUAUUGGGAGGAACACCAGUGGCGAAGGCGGUACUCUGGGCCAUAACUGACGCUCUAGUGCGAGAGCUUGGGUAGCAAACAGG